Molecule: long non-coding RNA, 1665 nt
Organism: Cyprinus carpio (common carp)
Lineage: Eukaryota; Metazoa; Chordata; Actinopteri; Cypriniformes; Cyprinidae
Source: Ensembl
AUGCUUGCCCGGCAUGUCACAAUGGGUGUUACGCACAAUUUGUCACGGAUACACCAUUCAGUUUCAAAAAGGCCCGCCUCCUUUAUGCGGAAUUCUUCCCACAGUUGUGAAGCCAAAGGAAAUCGUGGUGCUGCGGCAAGAGAUGUCAGCUCUGCUGAGCAAAGGGGCUAUAGAAGAAGUACACCCCUCUCAGAUGGAGUCAGGUUUUUACAGCCGCUAUUUUGUUGUACCAAAAAAAAGGGGCGGUUUGCGACCCAUAUUGGAUCUACGCCGUUUGAAUCUUGCACACAGGACGAGCAAAUUCAAGAUGUUAACGGUAAAGUCUAUGUUGUCUCAGAUUCAACCAAACAACUGGUUUGUCACGAUCGAUCUGAAGGAUGCAUAUUUUCAUAUUCAGAUCAUCAAGAGACACAGGAAGGUCCUCAGAGUCGCUUUAGAGGGCAAAGCGUAUCAAUACCGUGUUCUUCCCGUCGCCUUAGCCCUGCCUCCCCGAACUUUUUCGAAAUGCAUGGACGCAGCUCUGGCCCCAUUGCGGCUCCAGGGCGUUCGCGUGUUGAAUUACUUAGACGAUUGGCUGGUGUUAGCACAAUCGCAGACUCAAGCACACUCUCACUGGGAUCUUGUGCUGAAUCAUCUAAACAGCCUGGGCUUACGCACAAAUUUCCAGAAGAGUGUUUUAAUUCCCUCUCAACGGAUAACCUUUCUGGGAAUAGACUUGGACUCUCGCGCGAUGACAGCAAGACUAUCUCUCCCGCGCGUUCAGUCUCUCAUGUCAUGCGUGCGUCACUUCAAAGUAGGUUGCACAGUGACGGUGAGUUUGUGCCUCAGACUUUUGGGUCUAAUGGCAGCGGCAUCCCCUGUAAUCUGUCUGGGCUUACUUCAUAUGCGCCCAUUUCAGUGGUGGACGAAAAGCCGAAACAUUUCACCCCGUUGUUUUCCACAUUGGACAAUUUCAGUGACACGGAGGUGUGUUAUGUCAAUAAGACAGUGGAUGUCAACCAAAUUCCUAGCUGGAGUUCGGCUGGGGAUUUGUGCUUCCCGAGAGACUGUCACGACGGACGCGUCUUUGACCGGUUGGGGAACUGUUUGUCAAGGAUGCCCAGCUCACGGAGUAUGGAUGGCGACACAACGCGGUUGGCAUAUAAACAGGUUGGAAUUACUGGUGGUUUUUCUAGCUCUCCAGUAUUUCUCGAAUCUGCUGAUCAGCCGUCAUGUACUACUCAGGUCAGACAACAUAGCGGUUGUGUCGUAUCUGAAUCAUCAAGGAGGAUUACCCUCUCGACCCUGUGCAGGCUGGCGAGGAAUAUUCUUCUUUGGUCUCAGAACAGAUUUCUGUCGAUCCAAGCGGUUCAUGUCCCCGGACAUUUGAACUUCGGAGCGGAUUUGCUAUCCAGACAGACUCUGGAGCCUUUUAUGGCAAAUAUUUGGAGAAGCAAGGGUGGACUUAUGCGCAUCGAGCACGACUACGCAUUGCCCGCUGUGGUUCUCCCUAUGCCCUCCUUCGCCCCUAGGCUUGGAUGCGUUAGCUCACGAUUGGCCCAGGACCAGCUUAUAUGCUUUUCCCGGUGUUAUCCAGGAUGCGGCUGGACAGCGUGGAGCAGCUGCUGCUGGUGGCUUCGUGGUGGCCCACACAGCCGUGGUUUGCGGAUCUGGUCAGUCUGCUAG